GAUGAACGCUAGCGGCAGGCCUAAUACAUGCAAGUCGAGGGGCAGCGGGAGUAGCAAUACUUGCCGGCGACCGGCGCACGGGUGCGUAACACGUAUACAAUCUACCUUUAACAGGGGGAUAGCCCGGAGAAAUCCGGAUUAAUACCCCAUAACAUCCUGAGGGGCAUCCUUCAGGAUUGAAAGCUUCGGUGGUUAGAGAUGAGUAUGCGCCUGAUUAGUUAGUUGGUGAGGUAACGGCUCACCAAGACUACGAUCAGUAGGGGAUCUGAGAGGA
Molecule: ribosomal RNA, 274 nt
Filed under: uncultured bacterium
Lineage: Bacteria
Description: partial 16S ribosomal RNA
Rfam family: Bacterial small subunit ribosomal RNA
Source: RNAcentral